RNAcentral lists this unclassified non-coding RNA (176 nucleotides) under fungal sp. Its description in RNAcentral is "partial internal transcribed spacer region". The record is from RNAcentral. Lineage: Eukaryota; Fungi.
UUUUGGAACACAACAAAAAUCCGCGAAAUUUUCGCGAGAUCGAAGAUGCGACGCGUUACGCGGACGGCAAUAAUCCGCUCUGCGGCGACGCGCUCAGGGUUUAUGUCGAGAUGGAAGACGACAAGGUGAAAGACGUCGCUUUCAAGGGUUCGGGCUGCGCGAUCUCGAAAGCGUCC